This 467-nucleotide ribosomal RNA is filed under the name uncultured bacterium. RNAcentral describes it as "partial 16S ribosomal RNA". It matches the Rfam family "Bacterial small subunit ribosomal RNA", at positions 28 to 506 of the family's 1533-position model. The record is from RNAcentral.
GACGAACGCUGGCGGCGUGCUUAACACAUGCAAGUCGAACGGAAAGGCCCUGCUUUUGUGGGGUGCUCGAGUGGCGAACGGGUGAGUAACACGUGAGUAACCUGCCCUUGACUUUGGGAUAACUUCAGGAAACUGGGGCUAAUACCGGAUAGGAGCUCCUGCUGCAUGGUGGGGGUUGGAAAGUUUCGGCGGUUGGGGAUGGACUCGCGGCUUAUCAGCUUGUUGGUGGGGUAGUGGCUUACCAAGGCUUUGACGGGUAGCCGGCCUGAGAGGGUGACCGGCCCAAUGGGGCUUGGGAGCCGGCCAGAGCCCCGAGGGGGGGCAGGGGGGGGGAAUUUGGCAAAAGGGGGGGAGGCCGGUGGCAGCAGCCCCGCGGGGGGAGUGACGGCCUUCGGGUGGUAAACCGCUUUGCCCGGUAGGGAGGGGGGGGGAAGGGAAAUGGGUAAAGAAGCACCGGCUAACAACGG